This 3526-nucleotide long non-coding RNA is filed under the name Homo sapiens (human). Its description in RNAcentral is "HSALNT0150510". Lineage: Eukaryota; Metazoa; Chordata; Mammalia; Primates; Hominidae. The record is from RNAcentral.
CAGCUGUAAACAUCAUUUUCAAUGGUUUGCAUAUUUAUUUGUAUGGAUGGUAAUUCAUUUAGCUUUUUUCUUUUGUUAUAUUUUUGAGAUUGUUCCCUUCUCUUUUUAAAAUCGUAAAGCUGCUCUCAACAUCUUUGUGAGUAUACAUUCUUGGCUAAGUCAGGAUUCUGCCUAUUAGGUAUCCCGACUUACCAUUAUCUGGUGCCUUUUUUUCCAGGGCCAUUUCCCUUAGAGCCCUGUUUAUCUCUAUACCCUCUCAAAUGGCUUUCUUUCUUUUCUUUCUUUUUUUUUUUUUUGAGAGAGUCGCGCUCUGUUGCCCAGGCUGGAGUGCAGUGGUGUGAUCUCGGCUCACUGCAACCUCCACCUUCCAGGUUCAAGUGAUUCUAAUGCCUCAGCCUCCCAAGUAGCUGAGACUACAGAUGCGUGCCACCACACCUGGCUAAUUUUUGUAUUUUUAGUAGAGACAGGGUUUCACCAUGUUGGCCAGGUUGGUCUUGAAUCCUGGCCUCAAGUGAUCUGCCCACCUCAGCUUCCCAAAGUCCUGGGAUUACAUGUGUGAGCCACUGCGCAUGGCCCCAAAUAUUGCUUUCUUUUGUGACCCAGGGAAUGCUGCUUUCAAAGCAAACUGGUGUUUCAAGUGUUAAAACUGGACCGAGUCAAAUAGUUAGGGAGUAGACGAGACUUUAUUGUGUUAUAUGUGUCCUGAGAGCUUUAUAUACAUUUUCUCAUUUCAUUCUUAAAAUGACUUUGUGUGAGGCAGUUUCAUGUUUUCACUUUACAGAGAAGGACACAGGCUCAGAGAGGAUGAGUAACUCACUGAAGGUCACACAGCUAGCAAAACACAGAGCUGGGAUUUGAAUUCAUGUGUGCUGUGCCCUAAAGCCUGCAUCUGCUAGAGGGUGUAGACAUAGGCUUUAGAAUUUUUCAGCAAUAAAUUUGAAUUCUGAAGUAAUUUGAUAGAAGCCAAAAUAAUGGUGUGCUGGUAAGACAGGUCUCUAGAAAAAUGAAAAACCAAAAACCUGAUUUGUAGUGUUUCCAAUUUCUGUGGUGUAAAUACUCCCACCAUAGCUAAUUUCAAGCUGUCAAUGGUUUCACAAUCCACUUCCAGAACUCCUGAGUAUAUAACGAUCUGGGCAAGCUGAUACAGAUGCUUCCUUUGUCCUACUGGCCAAACAGUUAAUUACUUACCCAGUGCCAUGUGUUUUUUUGCACUCUGUGUUCUGGUAGGUUAAAUAACUAAAAAUGGUGUACUCAUUUCUAAGUGAGACAGCUGUACACAUCUAUAAAGUCUCUCUAAAAAUCAGAUUUCCAUGGCAUCUUUGAAGUUUUCUAAAGUUCAGUGACUAUUAGGCAACGUAUCUUCCCACUACUGAAGUCGAUUUAUUUUUUUUCACAUGUGAGUGACUUUCAGUGUUUGUGACUAACUCUGGGAUUUCAGUCUUUCCCCAAGGAUUAGAAUUAAGAUCAAGAGACAGGCUAGUGAUAAAUUGUUAGGAUGUGGUCACAAACACAAAGCUAAUUCACCAUGUCUGUGUUCUGUAGAUUAGACUAUCAGCAGAAUAUGUAAUUAGAACCUGCUAUAACAUUGUUUUAAUCAAUGAUGGAAAUAUGAGGUAAGAUAAAUGUGCAGAAAUUACUCCUAGGACUCUCCAGCACUACCGGGGGAAACCACUUAAGAAAAUCCAAAUGGUUUAACAGUAGCAGAGGAAAGUGCUUCCAUUCCCAAAAGUGGCUUCAGGAAACCAGCCGAAGCCAUCAUCUUCCUUCAAAGCCCGUGGUCUGCCAUACCUGAACCUUUCCACCAAGGUUGUGUGAUGCUUGAGUCACUGCUGAAGCCAUUUGCAGCCUGUCGAAUAUUAUAUAUUUUUGUUUGUUCGUUUGUUGUUGUUGUUGUUUUAGAUGGAGUCUCUCUGUUGCCCAGGCUGGAGUGCUGUGGCACAAUCUCAGCUCACUGCAACCUCUGCCUCCUGGGUUCAAGUGAUUCUUGCACCUCAGCCUCCUGAGUAGCUGGGAUUACAGGUACUGACCACCACGCCCGGCUAAUUUUUUUUGUAUUUUUAGUAGAGAUGAGGUUUCACCAUGUUGGCCAGGUUGGUCUCGAACUCCUGACCUCAAGAGAUCCACCCGCCUCGGCCUCCCAAAGUGCUGGGAUUAUAGGCAUGAGCUACCACGUCCGGCCUUGAAUAUUGGUUUUAUUCCUGCCAUUUAGGGACACUAAAUAAUUGUCACAAUAUACUAGUGACCAGGAGAGAGGGUCUGGGGAUGAUCUAUACAUUUGUGCAGUGACUUUUUGGUGGCUGAAAAAACAGAGAGUCGAGCACAAUCUUUGAUUACUUAGUCUUAGCUGGAGGAUUUGUCAGGCAUUGUCUGAUAGGUGGAGGAAUCUGCAUCCUUAGACUAGGUAGGAGGUAUUCCCACUUUGUUGGCAGUUGGCAAAGAAUGGUGGCUCUCUCACUGUUGUCAUUCUCAUUCUGAUUAGCCACCUUAUUAAAAGAGGAGUUCAGGGAACUCUAGCUGGACUUUUAUUUCAAGGGUGUUUUCCCAGCCUGUGCUGAUAGAUGCUCAUGGGGUUGGUUGUAGUCUUCAGACGCAAACAGGAUCUUAUUGUUUCCACUGGGGAGCAGCAUGGGUGAAGGAAUGGAUUGAAGUGUGUGUCAUCUUACCUUUCCUACCUGAAUCUGAAUCUGUGUUUGAAAAACAAAAUAAAACAAAACCCAAAAUGAAACAGAAAAACGUUCUGGUACCACCUAGGCAGCUAUAUCCUCUCAAAAACACUCUGUAAUUUGCCUGGGUUUCCUCUGAAUUGACCCAGGAUGACUGCAAUCUGCUUUCCAUCAUCUGAAAGGUGUGGCUAAUUAGUGCUUGUUCUCUGGAAGCCUCUCCUCUCCUAUUACACUCUCGAUCCUGUUUUUUUUAAGCAAAAGAAGUCAGGAGAAGGUUGUAGGCAUUGGCUCAAAUACUCCCAGGACUUUAUGGAAUGCAUUUCCCAUUUACUAUCCAUUUCAGUGCUUACACUAUGCUGGGGGAAGCUGAGCUACAGCUUUACCUUGCUUAGUGAAUAAAUGGCUAUUUCUCUGUGUUAAUGGUCUGCAUGUCUUAUUUCAUAGGUCAUGGGAAUGGGAAAGUACAGCUCUGUCGUUGACUUGAUUGCUUUUGUCCAGCCAUGAGAAACACUCUCAUCUCUGUCCCCAAUCCCCUAUUAGUGAAAAAUCCCCAAAUGCACUAAUUCCUCCCUCUCCUCAAAAACAUUACAUUGUGAUAGUAGAAAAUGUGGAGGGGUGGGUGUGGUGCUUCGACAAAAGGGAACCACUGAAGCCUGGUUUCUGCUUGCAAAAUGCGUAGUCCAGUUGAAGGGACGUGGAAUCAUUUGGGGAAUCAAGCCUGCUCUAACUCUUGGCUCCCUGGACCGUGUCAUCAUCUGGACGCCAGAUAAAAUACAGAUGUUCAGCUAGAAACACAGCACCAGACCAUUUUCCUUUUGGCUUGCACUGCCUCUUAAAUGCCUGAAUGCCAAACAAACUCAUUU